This is a long non-coding RNA of Helianthus annuus (common sunflower), 3130 nucleotides long. RefSeq lists it as uncharacterized. Lineage: Eukaryota; Viridiplantae; Streptophyta; Magnoliopsida; Asterales; Asteraceae. The transcript has 5 exons. The record is from RefSeq and is a predicted model, not a curated record.
AUGAAAUCUACACUUCCUCACCUACCUAGCUAACUCAUUUAGAUCAUAACAAUAUUAUUUUUUUUCUUUUCCUACCACUCUAUCUGCAUAUAUAAUCUCUAUCCAUAUACGCUCAUUCUGAGAUUAGCCAUCUCUCCACAUCUCUUGUUCCCUUCACUUAACUCGAAAACCAACGAUUUUUAUUAUUUUCUAUGGCUGGGGCCGAAGACAAUAAUACUUACGACGUGUUUCUAAGCUUUAAUAUGGAAUCUACAAUACAGGGCAUUUUGUAGGGAAUUUUCGAUGUCGGCCAGCGUGAGCCGAAUGUGGAAUUUUAGGUUGCAGGUGUGUCAUUCAUACACCCUUUUCAUUAUCUUUGAUCAUUCAAACUUUUAUCCUUUCUGGACUGCAAACUAGUGACUAUAUGCUGAUAUACAAGGAUAUGGUGACUUGGAACUGUGUAUGCAUGGAUAUAGUAAAAACCGUGUUGAGCAUUAAAACAAUGACAAGAAAUUUGGCCAUCUAUUUCUUUAAUCAAAUGAUGGUAUUUGUUACAUAUCACCCCUUCAAAUUAGUUAUGUUAAUUAGUAUUAGUAAGGGUAUUUUGAUAACUUGUUAAUUUGGUAAAAGAUUGCAUUUAAUAUGAUUCCAUGUAAUGUCGCAUUCACUUUCAACAAUCCAAUUUCAAAAUCACCUGCUCCAUCUUCGAAUAUUACACCAUGAUCUUCAGCAAUUAUCAUCAAGGUCGAUUAGUUUGCCGGAAUCUUCACAGCUGCCACAACCAUUGCUUAGUGUCUCCACCUAGGGGUGUUUAAAAAACUCAUGGCUCGCAUCUCCCUCGAAACUCGCUCGAAAAAAGUUCGAAAAAAGCUCGGCUUGAAAUUGGCUCGGUUGUAAACCAGCCAGCUUGGCUCGGUUUGUAAACAAGCCGAACUCGAGUUUGGCUUGGCUCGUGAGCUCGUGAGCCGGCUCGAUAAGGUUUAUAUCCUUAUUUUUUUGUCCCACAUUGCUCAGAAGACAAAAACUAAGAGAGUAUCUUCUCUAUAAAAGAAGGUGACCUUAGGGUUUCUGAAGUGGGGAGGAAAGAAGCACAUCAAGAUCUGGACUGACUUAAUUGGUACACUCACACUCACCAACAAAUCAAUGACCUGUAAAUCAACAAUUUGGUAACCUAAUCACGAUAAGCUCCACCAUUUCAUUAUUCGUUCAAUCGCCGGAAUCUUCAAGACCGAUAUAUUUGGCGAUUAAUCGAUCUUAAUGAAAAAAUAUCAUCAGCACUUUUUUUCUAAAAUAAGCAGCACACGAGCAUAUAUAAUCGACACUUCAAUGCUUGUGUGCCUUUGUGGGUUCGUUCAUCUUCUGUAUUUAUUAGAUUGUGUGAUGUGAUUGUGGUGAUUACAAAUAUAUUGAUAUAAACACAAACAAAUUGAUAUUUCAACAUUUUAUAUAUAUGAAGGAAACAAGAUAACUAAGUUAGAAUAAAUUGCUAAAUGUAGUUAAAAGGUUGAGGGGCUAGUUGUGCAAAUAGAAAAAAACAUCCACCCAGUGUCACGCCUCUACGCGCCCCUCCUUUCCGCCCACUCACCCUCGCAAGCCUCACACGGGCCAGUGGUUGACACCUACUCGCCUUUAUCCAUUUGUUAAACCCGGCAAAUUUCUAGGUCAAUUCUGUACAUUAAUCUAAAACAUGCUUAUUCAAUAACAUGCAUUGAAAUUAUUUUGAGUAAAUUACAAAACUCGCCCUUUAUGUUAUCACCAGAUUACAAAAUGUGUCAUUUAUCUUUAAAAAGUACAAAAAACGUCCUCUAUGUUUGCAAACCCUUGCACAUUAUGUCCUUUAGCCGUAACUCUGUUAUUUUUCAUGGUUAAAUCAGACCAAGUGUACCUCACAUGAGGGUAUUUUGAUCAUUUUACCAUUUAUUUAUAAUAUAAAACAAUAUACAUCCACCAGACACACACAGUCUCUCUGCCAUCACCUCCACCAACCACUAGCCACCACCAUUACCUCCACCAAACAACCCUACCAACCACCACCAUGACCACCGCACCACCUCCAUUACUACUCCCAAGAGCCACCACACCCACCAGCCUCUGCACCACCAUGACUACCGCACCACCGUUUUUAUACUUUUUGAAGACAAAGACACACUUUGUAUUUUAUGUUUGCACCGCAGGCAGUUUGAGCAAAAAUCUCCUGAACAAAAUCUCGGGGUACCUCCUAGUUAUGAAGAUGUUGUGGCUAGCGGCCGUAGCCCCAAUUAUAAUAAGAGGGACAGAGAGACGAAAUCUGUAUCCCCACCACCUGUAACCACCAGUCAUGAAACCACAGUUUCUAGCGCCCCUCCAGCUGCUCCAGCAGCUAUUCCGCCGCCAGUCGCCGCUGCACCUCCUACAACAGCUCCAUCACAUCCACCUGCCACCACCGAUUAAUAAUCAACAAAUACCCAAAACCCACCACAUCCACCACCCACCUGCCACCAUUGAUUAAUCUCCAAUCAAUUAACCAACAAAACCAGUGGCGGAUCUUGCCCGUUGAACGUGCCAGGGUCAAAAGACACUCGCACUAAAAAAAAGCCCGGGCAAGCCCGCGCCAAACAUAGUAUAUAUAAAAAAUUUCGAUCGAAAUAAGGAAAAUUAGCACUACGGCCGAAAAACUUGCCCGGGUCGUAGCCCUGACAGUGGCCUUCUAAGAACCGCCCCUGAACAAAACCCAUAAAAUUAAACUAAUACCCACAAAAAAAUCUAACCUUUUAGAUCAUUUACAUCCGGUGGCUCGUGGUGAGAAACAGUGGGGGAGGAGGUGUUAACCCGGAGGCGGUGGCGGGGGUGGUGAGUGGAGGCGGUGGCGGAGGUAUUGGAAAGAGUAUAUUUUCCCUUAUUCUCCUCGUAAUCAUUCCUUUCUUUUGGCCUUGUGUUUAGGAACUUCCAUGUAGGGUUUCAAAGCCUCUGUAUUAUAUAGUCUCGUUCUUUUUCAUUGUAAGAGAUACAGACACAAAAAUACAAAACAAUUAAAAGAGCUCUUACCAUUGAAAUUAUGAUGGUAUCAGAUGUGACGCCUGUGUCAUUACGACCAUCACACAAAUGCAAAUCCAAUGAAAUAUUGUGUUUCAUACUUGGGAUUUGUAUAAAUAUGUGUAUCAUUUUCACAUAU